This 497-nucleotide ribosomal RNA is filed under the name uncultured bacterium. Its description in RNAcentral is "partial 16S ribosomal RNA". It matches the Rfam family "Bacterial small subunit ribosomal RNA", at positions 28 to 507 of the family's 1533-position model. The record is from RNAcentral.
GAUGAACGCUGGCGGCGUGCCUAAUACAUGCAAGUCGAGCGAACGGACGAGAAGCUUGCUUCUCUGAUGUUAGCGGCGGACGGGUGAGUAACACGUGGAUAACCUACCUAUAAGACUGGGAUAACUUCGGGAAACCGGAGCUAAUACCGGAUGAUAUUUUGAACCGCAUGGUUCAAAAGUGAAAGACGGUCUUGCUGUCACUUAUAGAUGGAUCCGCGCUGCAUUAGCUAUUUGGUAAGGUAACGGCUUACCAAGGCAACGAUGCAUAGCCGACCUGAGAGGGUGCACGGCCACACUGGAACUGAGACACGGUCCAGACGCCUACGGGAGGCAGCAGUAGGGAAUCUGCCGCAAUGGGCGAAAGCCUGACGGAGCAACGCCGCGUGAGUGAUGAAGGUCUUCGGAUCGUAAAACUCUGUUAUUAGGGAAGAACAUAUGUGUAAGUAACUGUGCACAUCUUGACGGUACCUAAUCAGAAAGCCACGGCUAACUACGUG